UUGGAAGUAAAAGUCGUAACAAGGUCUCCGUUGGUGAACCAGCG
Molecule: ribosomal RNA, 44 nt
Filed under: Neonectria sp. PPn1-B Lr
Lineage: Eukaryota; Fungi; Ascomycota; Sordariomycetes; Hypocreales; Nectriaceae
Description: partial 17S ribosomal RNA
Source: RNAcentral